AGUGAACGCUGGCGGUAGGCCUAACACAUGCAAGUCGGACGGCAGCACAGUAAGAGCUUGCUCUUACGGGUGGCGAGUGGCGGACGGGUGAGGCAUACAUCGGAAUCUACUUUUUCGUGGGGGAUAACGUAGGGAAACUUACGCUAAUACCGCAUACGACCUACGGGUGAAAGCAGGGGAUCUUCGGACCUUGCGCGAUUGAAUGAGCCGAUGUCGGAUUAGCUAGUUGGCGGGGUAAAGGCCCACCAAGGCGACGAUCCGUAGCUGGUCUGAGAGGAUGAUCAGCCACACUGGAACUGAGACACGGUCCAGACUCCUACGGGAGGCAGCAGUGGGGAAUAUUGGACAAUGGGCGCAAGCCUGAUCCAGCCAUACCGCGUGGGUGAAGAAGGCCUUCGGGUUGUAAAGCCCUUUUGUUGGGAAAGAAAAGCAGCAGGUUAAUACCCCGCUGUUCUGACGGUACCCAAAGAAUAAGCACCGGCUAACUUCGUG
Molecule: ribosomal RNA, 492 nt
Filed under: uncultured bacterium
Lineage: Bacteria
Description: partial 16S ribosomal RNA
Rfam family: Bacterial small subunit ribosomal RNA
Source: RNAcentral